AUGGAGGUCCUUCAUCCUUCUCCUAAAAAAUAUCUUAAACACUGUACAGAUGCAGCUGCAGUCUCGCCUGAUUCACAUAAGAGAGAUUAUCCAACUAAUAUUUUUGGCAUAAACAUUUGGUGUCUACCAAUAGUGUGGUACCGAGUGUUGACUUUAUCAAUUAUCGCACCUAUACCUAAAGUAAUGAUUGCUCUACUUUUAUUUUGA
This is a non-coding RNA of Vicia faba (fava bean), 207 nucleotides long. NCBI's taxonomy places the organism in Eukaryota, Viridiplantae, Streptophyta, Magnoliopsida, Fabales, Fabaceae. The record is from the annotation of a GenBank genome assembly.